RNAcentral lists this ribosomal RNA (397 nucleotides) under uncultured bacterium. RNAcentral's name for it is "partial 16S ribosomal RNA". It matches the Rfam family "Bacterial small subunit ribosomal RNA", at positions 523 to 918 of the family's 1533-position model. The record is from RNAcentral.
AUACGUAGGUGACAAGCGUUAUCCGGAUUUACUGGGCGUAAAGGGCGUGUAGGCGGUCUUGCAAGUCAGAAGUGAAAUUCCUGAGCUCAACUCGGGCGCUGCUUCUGAAACUGCAGGACUUGAGUGCUGGAGGGGAUAGCGGAAGUCCUCGUGGAGCGGUAAAAUGCGCAGAUAUUAGGAAGAACACCGGUGGCGAAGGCGGCUAUCUGGACAGUAACUGACGCUGAGGCGCGAAAGCGUGGGGAGCAAACAGGAUUAGAUCCCCUGGUAGUCCACGCCGUAAACGAUGAAUACUAGGUGUAGGGGGUAUCGACUCCCUCUGUGCCGCAGUUAACACAAUAAGUAUCCCGCCUGGGGAGUACGGCCGCAAGGUUGAAACUUAAAGGAAUUGACGGGG